This 463-nucleotide long non-coding RNA is filed under the name Lactuca sativa (garden lettuce). Its description in RNAcentral is "long non-coding RNA (LSAT_LNC007130)". The record is from RNAcentral. Lineage: Eukaryota; Viridiplantae; Streptophyta; Magnoliopsida; Asterales; Asteraceae.
AUACUUUGUAUUUGAAAAUUAGGAUGUUACGGAUAAAAUAAAUAAAUAAAUAAAUAAAAAAUAAAACUUUUCUGAAAUUUAAAAAACAAGUGUGCAUACGAAUGGUUAUUUAUUAGUACAAAACGGUCGCAAAUAAGUAGCCAUUUUCCAUCACAAUCCCAAUUAUUAUUUAGUAGUACUAUUCACUACAUAACCCGCACUCUUUUAAAAGGUAUUCAUGAGGUAUUCAUGGUCCUAAAAUCCAAUGUUGAAGCCAACUUAAUAUAUUACAAUCAAUAAUGAUAAGCUAUAUAUACUAUUGAGGGGCAAUUUCAGGUAGCUAUCACUCUUUUAAAAGGUAUUAAUGAUCCUAAAAUCCAAUGUUGAAGCCAACUUAAUAUAUUACAAUCAAUAAUGAAAAGCUAUAUAUACUAUUGAGGGGCAAUUUCAGGUAGCUAUCACUCUUUUAAAAGGUAUUCAUGAU